Non-coding RNA from Sporomusa sphaeroides DSM 2875, 563 nucleotides. NCBI's taxonomy places the organism in Bacteria, Bacillati, Bacillota, Negativicutes, Selenomonadales, Sporomusaceae. The record is from Rfam.
UUUAUGGAGAGUUUGAUCCUGGCUCAGGACGAACGCUGGCGGCGUGCCUAACACAUGCAAGUCGAACGGAGUAUUUAGCAAUAAAUACUUAGUGGCGAACGGGUGAGUAACGCGUAGACAACCUGCCUCUAAACUGGGGACAACACCGCGAAAGUGGUGCUAAUACCGAAUGUGGUAACUUGGCUGCAUGGCUAAGUUAAGAAAGAUGGCCUCUACAUGUAAGCUAUCGUUUAGAGAUGGGUCUGCGUCUGAUUAGCUAGUUGGUGAGGUAAAGGCUCACCAAGGCGACGAUCAGUAGCCGGUCUGAGAGGAUGAACGGCCACACUGGGACUGAGACACGGCCCAGACUCCUACGGGAGGCAGCAGUGGGGAAUCUUCCGCAAUGGACGAAAGUCUGACGGAGCAACGCCGCGUGAGUGAAGAAGGUCUUCGGAUUGUAAAGCUCUGUCGUUUGGGACGAACGUGGAUUGUGUGAAUAAUGCAAUCUAAUGACGGUACCAAAGGAGGAAGCCACGGCUAACUACGUGCCAGCAGCCGCGGUAAUACGUAGGUGGCAAGCGUUG